UGAGCUCGAUGAGUAGGGCGGGACACGUGGUAUCCUGUCUGAAUAUGGGGGGACCAUCCUCCAAGGCUAAAUACUCCUGACUGACCGAUAGUGAACCAGUACCGUGAGGGAAAGGCGAAAAGAACCCCGGCGAGGGGAGUGAAAAAGAACCUGAAACCGUGUACGUACAAGCAGUGGGAGCCCCACCACCAAAGCAUUCUCUGGUGUUGAAGGCCCUGCAAAGCAGCAUCGCGGUGGCGGAGCGUCGUUUGCGACGCCCAACACACAAAACAAGCGGUGAAUGCUUUGGGGUGGGGUGACUGCGUACCUUUUGUAUAAUGGGUCAGCGACUUAUAUUCUGUAGCAAGGUUAACCGUAUAGGGGAGCCGUAGGGAAACCGAGUCUUAACCGGGCGUUAAGUUGCAGGGUAUAGACCCGAAACCCGGUGAUCUAGCCAUGGGCAGGUUGAAGGUUGGGUAACACUAACUGGAGGACCGAACCGACUAAUGUUGAAAAAUUAGCGGAUGACCUGUGGCUGGGGGUGAAAGGCCAAUCAAACCGGGAGAUAGCUGGUUCUCCCCGAAAGCUAUUUAGGUAGCGCCUCGUGAAUUCAUCUCCGGGGGUAGAGCACUGUUUCGGCUAGGGGGCCAUCCCGGCUUACCAACCCGAUGCAAACUGCGAAUACCGGAGAAUGUUAUCACGGGAGACACACGGCGGGUGCUAACGUCCGUCGUGAAGAGGGAAACAACCCAGACCGCCAGCUAAGGUCCCAAAGUCAUGGUUAAGUGGGAAACGAUGUGGGAAGGCCCAGACAGCCAGGAUGUUGGCUUAGAAGCAGCCAUCAUUUAAAGAAAGCGUAAUAGCUCACUGGUCGAGUCGGCCUGCGCGGAAGAUGUAACGGGGCUAAACCAU
Molecule: ribosomal RNA, 891 nt
Filed under: Salmonella enterica subsp. enterica serovar Mikawasima
Lineage: Bacteria; Pseudomonadati; Pseudomonadota; Gammaproteobacteria; Enterobacterales; Enterobacteriaceae
Description: partial 23S ribosomal RNA
Rfam family: Bacterial large subunit ribosomal RNA
Source: RNAcentral